RNAcentral lists this microRNA precursor (206 nucleotides) under Oryza nivara. RNAcentral describes it as "MIR812 microRNA precursor family". It matches the Rfam family "MIR812 microRNA precursor family". The record is from Rfam by way of RNAcentral. Lineage: Eukaryota; Viridiplantae; Streptophyta; Magnoliopsida; Poales; Poaceae.
AAAAAGACAAACCCUGGUUUCCGUGUCCAACGUUUGACCGUCCAUCUUAUUUGAAAAAAUUAUGAAAAAAAUAAAAAAGACAAGUCACGCAUAAAAUAUUAAUUAUGUUUUAUCAUCUAACAAUAAUGAAAAUAUGAAUUAUAAAAAAAUUUCAUAUAAGACGGACCGUUAAAGUUGGACACGAAAACCCAGGGUUUGCCCCUUUU